GCCCCGACUCUAGCGAUCGCAUCAACGAACGAUCCGAUGUCAGUCGUCUCGACAGUAGGUCGAGCAUGCACAUUGGGUCGGAGGUCGGCCAACCUCCGAACGUUGCUCGUCGACACGAUCAUUCCGUAGAGUCUGAUAGUCGAGUAGCGUCCGACGUAUUCGGAUAGGAUAAUAAUAGCAAGUCGAAUAUCCAUUGUCCGACCCUUGGUCGGGCGUGCACGUCGGGAUGUAUGAUAAAUGGUG
RNAcentral lists this long non-coding RNA (243 nucleotides) under Elaeis guineensis (African oil palm). RNAcentral's name for it is "long non-coding RNA (EGUI_LNC021815)". The record is from RNAcentral. Lineage: Eukaryota; Viridiplantae; Streptophyta; Magnoliopsida; Arecales; Arecaceae.